GACGAACGCUGGCGGCGUGCCUAAUACAUGCAAGUCGAACGCACAGUUUAUACCGUAGCUUGCUACACCAUAGACUGUGAGUUGCGAACGGGUGAGUAACGCGUAGGUAACCUGCCUGGUAGCGGGGGAUAACUAUUGGAAACGAUAGCUAAUACCGCAUAAUAUUGAUUAUUGCAUGAUAAUUGAUUGAAAGAUGCUAUUGCAUCACUACCAGAUGGACCUGCGUUGUAUUAGCUAGUAGGUGAGGUAACGGCUCACCUAGGCGACGAUACAUAGCCGACCUGAGAGGGUGAUCGGCCACACUGGGACUGAGACACGGCCCAGACUCCUACGGGAGGCAGCAGUAGGGAAUCUUCGGCAAUGGACGAAAGUCUGACCGAGCAACGCCGCGUGAGUGAAGAAGGUUGUUGGAUCGUAAAGCUCUGUUGUAAGAGAAGAACGGGUGUGAGAGUGGAAAGUUCACACUGUGACGGUAUCUUACCAGAAAGGGACGGCUAACUACGUG
RNAcentral lists this ribosomal RNA (505 nucleotides) under uncultured bacterium. RNAcentral's name for it is "partial 16S ribosomal RNA". It matches the Rfam family "Bacterial small subunit ribosomal RNA", at positions 28 to 507 of the family's 1533-position model. The record is from RNAcentral.